CCGCCCCUCAACCAACCCCCAGGCGGCAAGGCCCUCUCCACGCGCGCUCUCCAGCCUGGCGGGGCCCUGGAAGCCGGGACACGCGGAGGCCGGGAGGGUCAUCGGCGUUUAAGGCAGCCUCCCACACCCAAGUGCACCGCCCGGAGCCCCUCUGCACGAGGGCUUUCUGCUUAUUGCUCUUUUCCCCAACAGCCAGAGUCGUCACGGUAGCGCGGGAAGGGGCCUCGCGGGCCGUCUGCAGCAGGUGCGGCCGGGAGCCGCAGGCCCGCGCGGAUUCCUGCGGAGCUGUAUUUACUUUACAUCCAUGUGAACUGCUGUCAUCACUACUGUGUCCAAGCCCAGAGGAUGAACUGGAAAAGAAGAGAGGGGGAAAAUAAUAAAAAGAGGAAAUUGGUUUUCACAACACACUCAAAGCCUGAGUAACAGAGGAGAACUUUAAUUAUCUCCAGUCACAAAGAGAGACAGGAAAUUUGGACUUUUAAUUAGCCAUUUGGAGUGCAGUUGGAUAU
Molecule: non-coding RNA, 509 nt
Filed under: Pan troglodytes (chimpanzee)
Lineage: Eukaryota; Metazoa; Chordata; Mammalia; Primates; Hominidae
Source: RNAcentral